RNAcentral lists this ribosomal RNA (355 nucleotides) under uncultured bacterium. Its description in RNAcentral is "bacterial SSU rRNA". It matches the Rfam family "Bacterial small subunit ribosomal RNA", at positions 29 to 345 of the family's 1533-position model. The record is from RNAcentral.
AGCGAACGCUGGCGGCGUGCUUAACACAUGCAAGUCGAGCGAAGGUGUUUCAAGGGUAACCUUGAGAUACACUUAGCGGCGGACGGGUGAGUAAUACGUGGAUAACUUACCUCUAGGCCUGGGAUAACCCCGGGAACGUAGGGGCGUAAUACCUGAUAAGACCACAUUGUCUACGGACGAAAGGGGUAAAAGGUAGGCUGUGCAAACAAGCUAUCGCCAAAAGAAUAGGUUCACGUCCCACUCAGGCGAGUGGGUUGGAGGUAAUGGCUCACCAAACCAAAGAACGGGUAGCCGGCCUUGGCGGGGUGGAACGGCCACACGGGGACGUGAGACACGGCCCCGGACCUCCUACGGG